Long non-coding RNA from Oreochromis niloticus (Nile tilapia), 2985 nucleotides. The record is from Ensembl. NCBI's taxonomy places the organism in Eukaryota, Metazoa, Chordata, Actinopteri, Cichliformes, Cichlidae.
AUGGACCCAGCAGCUUUCAAUCCUUCUGAGGAGCUUAAAGAUGACAUUAUUUACAGCGUGGAGCUGCUAAUAAACCUGUGGCUGGAGCAUGAGGGAGAAGAAUUUCUCAGAUUAGUUUCUGGGCUACCCUGGCUGCUCAGUGCACUUCACCCGCUCGCACAGGAUUUUAUUCUGAAUGAGCUUCACCUCCAUCCUCUGGCCACUACUACUCAACCAGUAACUACGGCCUCUCUUCCUGGCAUGACGGAGGAUGUUCUGCCUGGCCCGUCGGCCCAGCCAUUGAAAGGCCGUCAACGCCCCUCGCCACAGUCGGACCCCGGGAUUUCAGAACAGCCGGCUGUGGUGAGUAAAAAGAACAAUAUUACUGGUUUGAACUUUGGGACUUUUUCUUCUGGGAUUGUCCGGGGUGUGUCGAUGGGAGCUAAUACGCGUAGUUUACCUGCCUUUGUAGUUACUGACCUCUCCCAGGUUGGCAUUUUUGAGACUUCUGAGAAAACAAAUGGCUGUGUUUCUUCUCCUUCUCCUGAGCCUGGAUUAACUCUCUCUGAGCCUGUUAACCCCGUAUCAGCUAUCCCUGAGUCUGCUAAAGCUGUGGCUUUCACCCCAGAGGCUGAGUUUCCUCCCUCGGCUGACUCUGGACCCCUAGAGACUAAAAAGCCAGCGUUGCCCGAGUCGUUUAAAAGUUCCACCGAGUCAGCUCAGUUAGCUGACCAGCAGCCUUUAGUUCAGUUUCCAGUGUCACCUGCUCAGCUGCCAUUUGCUCAGUCUCCAGUGUCACCUGCUCAGCAGCCACUAGCUCAGUCUCCAGUGUCACCUGCUCAGCUGCCACUAGCUCAGUCUCCAGUGUCACCUGCUCAGCAGCCACUAGCUCAGUCUCCAGUGUCACCUGCUCAGCAGCCACUAACUCAGUCUCCAGUGUCACCUGCUCAGCUGCCACUAGCUCAGUCUCCAGUGUCACCUGCUCAGCAGCCACUAGCUCAGUCUCCAGUGUCACCUGCUCAGCAGCCACUAGCUCAGUCUCCAGUGUCACCUGCUCAGCUGCCACUAGCUCAGUCUCCAGUGUCACCUGCUCAGCAGCCACUAGCUCAGUCUCCAGUGUCACCUGCUCAGCAGCCACUAGCUCAGUCUCCAGUGUCACCUGCUCAGCAGCCACUAGCUCAGUCUCCAGUGUCACCUGCUCAGCAGCCACUAGCUCAGUCUCCAGUGUCACCUGCUCAGCUGCCACUAACUCAGUCUCCAGUGUCACCUGCUCAGCAGCCACUAGCUCAGUCUCCAGUGUCACCUGCUCAGCAGCCACUAGCUCAGUCUCCAGUGUCACCUGCUCAGCAGCCACUAGCUCAGUCUCCAGUGUCACCUGCUCAGCAGCCACUAGCUCAGUCUCCAGUGUCACCUGCUCAGCAGCCACUAGCUCAGUCUCCAGUGUCACCUGCUCAGCAGCCACUAGCUCAGUCUCCAGUGUCACCUGCUCAGCAGCCACUAGCUCAGUCUCCAGUGUCACCUGCUCAGCUGCCACUAACUCAGUCUCCAGUGUCACCUGCUCAGCAGCCACUAGCUCAGUCUCCAGUGUCACCUGCUCAGCAGCCACUAGCUCAGUCUCCAGUGUCACCUGCUCAGCAGCCACUAGCUCAGUCUCCAGUGUCACCUGCUCAGCAGCCACUAACUCAGUCUCCAGUGUCACCUGCUCAGCAGCCACUAGCUCAGUCUCCAGUGUCACCUGCUCAGCAGCCACUAGCUCAGUCUCCAGUGUCACCUGCUCAGCAGCCACUAGCUCAGUCUCCAGUGUCACCUGCUCAGCAGCCACUAGCUCAGUCUCCAGUGUCACCUGCUCAGCAGCCACUAGCUCAGUCUCCAGUGUCACCUGCUCAGCAGCCACUAGCUCAGUCUCCAGUGUCACCUGCUCAGCUGCCACUAGCUCAGUCUCCAGUGUCACCUGCUCAGCAGCCACUAGCUCAGUCUCCAGUGUCACCUGCUCAGCUGCCACUAGCUCAGUCUCCCGUGUCCCCGCUACCUGUAGCUCAGUCUUCGGUGUCCCCGCUACCUGUAGCUCAGUCCCCCGUGUCCCCGCUGGCUCAGUCGCUCAUUCUCUCACCAGUCUCACUCAUUCAUUCUAUGCAGGGAGAGAAUCUCAUGAUAACCUUUGGUGUUUCUCAUGGACUGGCUGCUUUUAAGAUGGUUACUCCCUCCAGGGCCUCCCCAGAGGCCGGGUUUCAGCCCGCAGCUGAUUCUGGAUCCCUGGAGGAUAAGACGCCCCCUGAGAACUGGACCGUGUUAGUGCUGCCUGGACAGAGCCAAUGCCCUGAGCGGCUUCAAUCACCUUCGUGUCUGCCAGAGGACUCCAUGCCUGCUGGCUUUGUGUUAGCCUCCGCUGGAGGGUCCAAGGGACCUGUCCGGUCUUCAUCUUCGGUCUCCGCUGGAGGGUCCAAUGGGCCCGUCCGGCCUUCGUCUGUCUUCGCUGGGGGGUCCGAGGGACCGCUUCAGCCUUCUGUCUCUGCUGGAGGGUCCGAGGGACCUGUCCGGUCUUCGUCUUCGGUCUCCACUGGAGGGUCCGAGGGGCCGCUUCAGCCUUCUCUCUCCGUUGGAGGGUCAGAGGAACCUGUCCGGCCUUCGUCUUCAGUCUCCGCUGGAGGGUCCAAGGGGCCCGUCCGGCCUUCGUGUGUCUCCGCUGGAGGGUCCGAGGGACCACUUCAGCCUUCGUCUACCUCAGCUGGAGGGUCCGAGGGCCCGUCCGGCCUUCGUCCGUCUUCGCUGGGGGUCCGAGGGACCGCUUCAGCCUUCUGUCUCUGCUGGAGGGUCCGAGGGACCUGUCCGGUCUUCGUCUUUGGUCUCCGCUGGAGGGUCCAAGGGGCCCGUCCGGCCUUCGUGUGUCUCCACUGGAGGGUCCGAGGGGCCGCUUCAGCCUUCUCUCUCCGUUGGAGGGUCAGAGAAACCUGUCCGGCCUUCGUCUUCAGUCUCCGCUGGAGGGUCCAAGGGCCCGUCCGGCCUUAG